Lonchura striata (white-rumped munia) is the source of this 769-nucleotide long non-coding RNA. RefSeq lists it as uncharacterized. The record is from RefSeq and is a predicted model, not a curated record. Lineage: Eukaryota; Metazoa; Chordata; Aves; Passeriformes; Estrildidae.
AUUUACACCCUUUGUAUGUCUAGAAACAAAGAAGAAACAGCAAGGACACUGAAGAAACAAAUAGCAAAAGUAAUCAAAACUAAUAAGUAUUUAUUAAUACUCAUGAGAAACAAAGGGUCUGCCGGAAAAUUUGUCAGGUCCACGCAUGAACAGGAUAUUAAAAACAUGUUCAGAGAACACAAAGCAAUUUCAGAGGUGGUAGAAGCUUUGUCUGCAUCACUGUUCAUGGCAGAAGAAAUGAGGGACAUUCCUAUUGAAAAAUCAUUCUUUAUGGGGGACUCAUCAAGUGAAGUGAUUCUGAAGGGGUGCUGGAACUGACUGAAAAAAUUAACAGUCACACAUCCCCGGGACCAGGGUAUAUUCACUCAUGGGAUCCAAAGGAAAUCAAGGAUGAAAUAGCUGAAUUACUAAUCAUGGAGGAACUAAAGUCUACCUGAGAGAUGUCUUACCAAACCGACCGUGGCAGUUUAUCUGGGCUGGAAACAGGACCAGACUGCAAACCUCACAUCCAGGGAAGGACUACCCGAAUGAAUCCUUCCUGUGCUGCUGUCCCUAGAAGAGAACAAAAAGUGUUGGGAAUUCUGGUCACAUGGAAACAACUUGGAGUGGUAGAAGGUCUUUGGUGGGCAUUUGGUACCUAGCCAGCAUCAACUUAUCACAGACCUCCAUAAAUACCAGUACAGCAGCACAGCCAAAGUUCUUCUGCACAAGGACUGGCUGAAGAGAGCAGCAUUUCAAGAACCAACAGCUUAACUCCAGCCAGUCAGCA